Molecule: unclassified non-coding RNA, 431 nt
Filed under: uncultured Diversispora
Lineage: Eukaryota; Fungi; Glomeromycota; Glomeromycetes; Diversisporales; Diversisporaceae
Description: SSU rRNA
Rfam family: Eukaryotic small subunit ribosomal RNA
Source: RNAcentral
AGCAGCCGCGGUAAUUCCAGCUCCAAUAGCGUAUAUUAAAGUUGUUGCAGUUAAAAAGCUCGUAGUUGAAUUUCGGGAUUCUACCGUCGGUCGGGCUACCAAGUCUGUACUGGUGUGUAGAAUUCCUACCUUCUGGGGAACCAUCAUGUUAUUAAUUUAGCGUGGUGGGAAACCAGGACCUUUACCUUGAAAAAUUAGAGUGUUCAAAGCAGGCUUAUGUCUGAAUACAUUAGCAUGGAAUAAUAGAAUAGGACGGUGGUCCUGUUUGUUGGUUUCUGAAUCACCGUAAUGAUUAAUAGGGAUAGUUGGGGGCAUUAGUAUUCAAUUGUCAGAGGUGAAAUUCUUGGAUUUAUUGAAGACUAACUUCUGCGAAAGCAUUUGCCAAGGAUGUUUUCAUUAAUCAAGAACGAAAGUUAGGGGAUCGAAGACGA